RNAcentral lists this long non-coding RNA (2069 nucleotides) under Sus scrofa (pig). Its description in RNAcentral is "lncRNA (ENSSSCG00030021070.1)". Lineage: Eukaryota; Metazoa; Chordata; Mammalia; Artiodactyla; Suidae. The record is from RNAcentral.
AGAUCUUCAAAGGUUGCCUCCUAGGGCAACCUUAUUUUACUUAGUGACCCCCACCUCCUGAGCCCAUGCCAGACUGGAUCAGGUGCCGGACAUCUGACACAAGUUGGGCCAAUCAGUUUUUCUUCUAGAAAUUUGGGGUUGGAGUGUGGCUGAACCUGUAAAACACAAACUUGGAAGCUGUAGGAUAGCCACAUAAGUUAUGCGAAUGGAGAAACAGAAGAAAGAAGAAUCAGGCAAAAGCUGAGGGGAAGGCAGAAAAACGAAUAUUUAGGGAGCACCUCCAUGCACCAGGAAUGACUCAGUACUGGGAAUGCAACACAGAAAAGGAGACUAGUGUAUCAGUAUCAUCGAUGAGACUCAGCUGACUCAACACCAUUCGGCGGAAACCAGGAAUACUUUCUUAGCAGCAAACACGGCCUAGUUUGCCAUCAUCCAAAUAAGGUCAAAUCAUUUUAGAACUUAUUUCAUCCAUACCUCUCAACUGUGCCACCUGCUGCCUGCUGGCAUCUCUUGACUGUCAGAGUCCGAGGCUUUACCAGAUCUCUUUUAAGGCUCUUUAAAGAUCUUUGUGGGACCUUUUAAUUUUGGAAACCAUACUCCAGAUCACAUCAGACGUAUUAAAAAUCCCCUGUCCCCCAUAUCCUAUAGGAAAUAUAGGAGCAGUAGACUAGUAAGUGUAAUGCAAUGACAUUUUGUUUUAAAUUAAAUUCUUAAUAAUUUUGAUUUGAUGGAUUGGGUUAAGGUUUAGGGAUCCAAGGAAUAAUGCCUUUCACCUUCCCUCCUGAGUUCAGAACUAAAGAUGAAAUAUAUUCAGGGGUCAGAAAGAUGGACAUCAAGAUAUCAACUUUAUUAUGAGGAAAAGCUGAAUAUGGUUUAAAUGUGUGGCAACAGAGAGCUUCCUUUUUAAAAAAUUUUGUUAUUUUUAUUAGAGUAUAUUUCAUUUACACAGAGAGCUUUCUAAUACCACCCUCUGAAAUGAACUUGCAGCCCUCCCCCCAAAACCUUCAGGCUUCCCCCACUUGCCACUGUGUGGAUAGAAGGCCAGAAUGGACCCUUGGUGCAGGGUCUGAAAGAGGGACAGAGGGAGGAGCUGAGUGGCAGAUGUUCAGAUUUUCUCCAAACUUAUUGCCAAAAAAAAAGAGAGAGAGAGAGAAGGUAAAAGAUAUGAGAGGUCAGGAGUAUUUUUAGCUGAAAUUCCUCCACAUNAAAGAUCUGAGAGGUCAGGAGUAUUUUUAGCUGAAAUUCCUCCACAUGAGAUUAUCCGGCCAUUUGUUGCAACAUGGAUGGACCUAGACAUGAUCAUACUAAGUGAAGUAAGUCAGAGAGAGAAAGACAAGUAUCAUGGUAUCACUUCUAUGUUGAAUCUUAAAAAAAUGAUACAAAGGAACUUAUUUGCAAAAUAGAAAUAAACUUGCAGACAGAAAACAAACUAUGGUUACCAAAGGGGAAAGGUGGGGGAGGGAAAAAUUAGGAGUUUGGGCUUAACAGACACAAUUGACUACAUAUAAAAUAGAUAAACAACAAUGACCUACUGAAUAGCACAGGGAGCUAUAUUUAACAUCUUACAAUAAACAAAAAUGGAAAAGAAUCUGGGAAAGAAUAUAUAUAUGUACACAUAUGUGUGUGUAACUGAAUCACCUUGCUGUACACCUGAAACGUUAUGACUCAACGGUACUUCAAUUUUUAAAAAAGAAGGAAAAUAUCAGGCCAGGGAAUGAUGGGUUUCCUUCUGGACCCAGUACUGGAUCCUGUGCUGACCUGACGGACAUAAUGACAACAGGUUCCAUCUCACCAUUUGGACCUUGUGUGGUCUGUCUCACAGCCAUGGUUAGACACCCCCCUUUCUACUCUCCUGGGCUUGCCUAGAGCUGGCCCCCCCACGUGGGGAUGCAGCUCUGACAUUUAUGGCUCUUGAUUCCUGUGUAAUCCUCUCCACCACGGAAUAGGACUAUGUCAGAAGCAAAAACAAACAAACAAACAAAACAAAAACCCCUGUUCAAAUUAGCUUAAUUCAUAUUCGGGAAAUUUGCUAUUUUACAUUCCAAUAAAGGAAAAUUCCAAUGUUCCGU